UAACAAGAGCAAGUUCUGGUAGAAAGAAGGUGACUUUAUUCCAGAGCUCAGAUAAAUAAAUAAAAUAAAAAAUAAAAAAAAGGGAUAGAGAGAGGUUAGAGGAGACAUGGUGGGGGUUAGAGAAAGUCAAUGAGAAUUUUAAAUGGGGUCAAUGAAGAUCAUAUAGCUGCCAAGGAGAGAUGUGUUAGGGUAAGUAGGGAGAGAGUGAGAAAGGAUUGUUAGAGUUCAGAAGCCAUAGUGAGACAUAACCAACUCUCUGCCCCCCAGGUGUUUGAACUGAUGUCUGAUGAGGAUGAAUCCAGCGACUACCUCUGCCUGUCCAUCCUGGGCCUCUUCUGUUGCCUUCCCCUAGCCAUCCCAGCCGUGAUCUUUUCUUGCCUGGUAUUUUUGGUGGAGCUGGGUUUCACCAUGUUGGCCAGGCUGGUCUUGAACACCUGACCUCAGGUGAUCUGCCCACCUCAGCUUCCCAAAGUGCUGGGAUUACAGGCAUGAGCCACCAUGCCCGGCCACGCAAUAACUCUUUUAUACUCAUCUUUCCCUGUUCCCUCUCUCCUAAAACUCAGACAAAGUUUGUAUUGUAGACAAAGAACUACAAUAAAUCCAGUGACUAUGAGCUGGCAGCCAAGACCUCCAAACAAGCCUACUACUGGGCCAUCGCGAGCAUCACUGUGGGAAUCUUAGGUACCAUCUUGUACACCUACCUGAUAUACUUACUUAGAUUGUAAACUGCUUCCCAGCUCUUGAACAAACCACCAAAUAUACACCACAGUGCAAUUUACCUUGGCUCUAAGCAUCUACUUGGGCUGAAUGGAACACCUGCUCCUCAAUGUCUGGAGUGCCAAGCUAUCUAAGAUUAGAAAAACAAAAUGCAAAGUGUUCUUCCUAUUCUUACAUGCCCCUCAAAGUAACACUUCUUUUUUUUUUUUUUUUUUUGACAGAGUCUUCCUCUGUCCAGGCUGGAGUGCAGUGCCACGAUGUCGGCUCACUGCAACCUCUGCCCCCAAGGUUUAAG
RNAcentral lists this long non-coding RNA (1012 nucleotides) under Homo sapiens (human). RNAcentral's name for it is "non-protein coding LINC01766:15". The record is from RNAcentral. Lineage: Eukaryota; Metazoa; Chordata; Mammalia; Primates; Hominidae.